UUGGAGGGCAAGUCUGGUGCCAGCAGCCGCGGUAAUUCCAGCUCCAAUAGCGUAUAUUAAAGUUGUUGCAGUUAAAAAGCUCGUAGUUGAAUUUCGGGGUCAGUAGGUUGGUCAUGCCACAGGUAUGUACUGGUCUCACUGAUUCCUCCUUCCUGAUGAACUGUAAUGCCAUUAAUUUGGUGUUGCAGGGAAUCUGGACUGUUACUUUGAAAAAAUCAGAGUGUUUAAAGCAGGCUAACGCCUGAAUACAUUAGCAUGGAAUAAUGAAAUAGGACGUUCGAUCCUAUUUUGUUGGUUUCUAGGAUUGACGUAAUGAUUAAUAGGGAUAGUUGGGGGCAUUAGUAUUCAAUUGUCAGAGGUGAAAUUCUUGGAUUUAUUGAAGACUAACUACUGCGAAAGCAUUUGCCAAGGAUGUUUUCAUUAAUCAAGAACGAAAGUUAGGGGAUCGAAGACGAUCAGAUACCGUCGUAGUCUUAACCAUAAACUAUGCCGACUAGGGAUCGGAUGAUGUUAAUUUUUUAAUGACUCAUUCGGCGCCUUACGGGAAAC
RNAcentral lists this ribosomal RNA (549 nucleotides) under uncultured Glomeromycotina. RNAcentral describes it as "SSU rRNA". It matches the Rfam family "Eukaryotic small subunit ribosomal RNA", at positions 548 to 1098 of the family's 1831-position model. The record is from RNAcentral. Lineage: Eukaryota; Fungi; Glomeromycota.